Molecule: ribosomal RNA, 278 nt
Filed under: Pseudomonas taetrolens
Lineage: Bacteria; Pseudomonadati; Pseudomonadota; Gammaproteobacteria; Pseudomonadales; Pseudomonadaceae
Description: 16S ribosomal RNA
Rfam family: Bacterial small subunit ribosomal RNA
Source: RNAcentral
GUGAGAUGUUGGGUUAAGUCCCGUAACGAGCGCAACCCUUGUCCUUAGUUACCAGCACGUAAUGGUGGGCACUCUAAGGAGACUGCCGGUGACAAACCGGAGGAAGGUGGGGAUGACGUCAAGUCAUCAUGGCCCUUACGGCCUGGGCUACACACGUGCUACAAUGGUCGGUACAAAGGGUUGCCAAGCCGCGAGGUGGAGCUAAUCCCAUAAAACCGAUCGUAGUCCGGAUCGCAGUCUGCAACUCGACUGCGUGAAGUCGGAAUCGCUAGUAAUCG